GGGGAAUAUUGCACAAUGGGGGAAACCCUGAUGCAGCAACGCCGCGUGAGUGAUGAAGGCCUUCGGGUUGUAAAGCUCUGUCUUCAGGGACGAUAAUGACGGUACCUGAGGAGGAAGCCACGGCUAACUACGUGCCAGCAGCCGCGGUAAUACGUAGGUGGCAAGCGUUGUCCGGAUUUACUGGGCGUAAAGGGAGUGUAGGUGGAUGCUUAAGUCAGAUGUGAAAUACCCGGGCUCAACUUGGGUGCUGCAUUUGAAACUGGGCGUCUAGAGUGCAGGAGAGGAAAGCGGAAUUCCUAGUGUAGCGGUGAAAUGCGUAGAGAUUAGGAAGAACACCAGUGGCGAAGGCGGCUUUCUGGACUGUAACUGACACUGAGGCUCGAAAGCGUGGGGAGCAAAC
RNAcentral lists this ribosomal RNA (400 nucleotides) under uncultured bacterium. RNAcentral's name for it is "bacterial SSU rRNA". It matches the Rfam family "Bacterial small subunit ribosomal RNA", at positions 356 to 773 of the family's 1533-position model. The record is from RNAcentral.